UUCAAUCGCUUGAAUUGUUUACUUUAUUGUGUUUACAAAAAAGUUUAUGAAUGAAUGGCUCUCUUUUCUUGCGAAUUCAGGUGUAUGAUGAGAAAAUGUAUACAUAUGGUAUACAGUCUUCUUUUUGGGGAAAUAACGAGAGAUAGCAUUACUGCUCACAAGUCUCUUUGAUAAGGUGCGAACCCAGUAGCCAGUACAUAGAGCAAAAGUUCUAGUAAAUAAUUUCGUUAAUACUGAAAUAUAUGAGGUAAUCGAAAGAAACUCAAAAGUUGUAGACCUUUACAUCGCCAUUAAUUAAUACAAACUGUUCUAAUAUAUUGUGAACACUGCAAUCUCUGAGUUGUUAUUAGACGAUUUGUAUCUACCAAAAACUUUAUUUUAUCCACAUCGGCUUCAAGAGGCCUUCCGGGACUUGGUGCAUCCUCAAAAUCGGAAUCGCCGGACGAAAUUUUGCAAAUCAAUUUUGGCAUUGGCCAACCAUCUUCUCCGUAUACAUCACAUAAUUUCGCUUUGUUUGAUAGUAAAACAGUAAAAUAUGCCGAAAAUGCUGUUUUCGAUCUUCUAUCUUCGAUAUGGCACCAAACAAAAACUAUUCCAAAAAGCGUCCUUACUAUAUAUCGGUAAAGCGGUUAAGUUGGCUGCGAAAAAUUCAAUGAGAUCGACUGUUGUCAUCAAACGAAAUUACUUAGUGAACGACUGAAUAGUAUUAAAAUAUAUAUUCGACAGUAAAUUUACACUAGUAAGACACUAGAACUUCUAUUGCUUCCGCAGCCAGUCGUAAAUCACUAUAACAAUUCAUCAUCACUAUAUAGCCAUUCAGCGGUAUCCAACGUGCCUUAGGCAGAGGCGA
This is a long non-coding RNA of Bactrocera oleae (olive fruit fly), 850 nucleotides long. RefSeq lists it as uncharacterized. NCBI's taxonomy places the organism in Eukaryota, Metazoa, Arthropoda, Insecta, Diptera, Tephritidae. The record is from RefSeq and is a predicted model, not a curated record.